RNAcentral lists this ribosomal RNA (371 nucleotides) under uncultured bacterium. RNAcentral's name for it is "bacterial SSU rRNA". It matches the Rfam family "Bacterial small subunit ribosomal RNA", at positions 527 to 896 of the family's 1533-position model. The record is from RNAcentral.
GUAGGGUGCAAGCGUUAAUCGGAAUUACUGGGCGUAAAGCGUGCGUAGGUGGUUUGUUAAGUCUGAUGUGAAAGCCCUGGGCUCAACCUGGGAAUUGCAUUGGAUACUGGCAAGCUAGAGUGCGGUAGAGGAUGGCGGAAUUCCCGGUGUAGCAGUGAAAUGCGUAGAGAUCGGGAGGAACAUCUGUGGCGAAGGCGGCCAUCUGGACCAGCACUGACACUGAGGCACGAAAGCGUGGGGAGCAAACAGGAUUAGAUACCCUGGUAGUCCACGCCCUAAACGAUGCGAACUGGAUGUUGGGAGCAAUUAGGCUCUCAGUAUCGAAGCUAACGCGUUAAGUUCGCCGCCUGGGGAGUACGGUCGCAAGAUUA